Molecule: ribosomal RNA, 3013 nt
Filed under: Myxococcales bacterium
Lineage: Bacteria; Pseudomonadati; Myxococcota; Myxococcia; Myxococcales
Description: 23S ribosomal RNA
Rfam family: Bacterial large subunit ribosomal RNA
Source: RNAcentral
GGUCAAGUUACUAAGGGCAUUCGGUGGAUGCCUUGGCACCAAGAGGCGAAGAAGGACGUGGUAAAACUGCGAUAAGCUGCGGUAAGUCGUAAACAGGCGUUGACCCGCAGAUCUCCGAAUCGGGAAACCGACACAGAGUAAUGUCUGUGUGGCCCCUCGCUGAAUACAUAGGCGAGAGGUAGCGAACGAGGGGAACUGAAACAUCUCAGUACCUUCAGGAAAAGAAAUCAAUUGAGACUCCCCUAGUAGUGGCGAGCGAACGGGGAUGAGCCUAAACGAUGCGUAUGCAAGCCUGCCGGCGUUGUACGUAUCGGGUUGUAGGACCGUCGGGUUGUCUCGGCAGAGACAGCAAUGGAUACCGUAAGGAUAGCUGAACGUCCUGGGAAGGACGGCCAAAGAGAGUGAUAGCCUCGUAGGCGAAAUCCGAGCGGACCGUAGACGGCACCUGAGUACAACGGGACACGAGGAACCCUGUUGGAAGCUGGGAGGACCAUCUCCCAAGGCUAAGUACUACUUGGUGACCGAUAGUGAACCAGUACCGUGAGGGAAAGGUGAAAAGAACCCCCGCGAGGGGAGUGAAAAGACUCUGAAACCGAAUGUCUACAAGCCGUGGAAGCACUAUGCCGCAAGGAAUGUGCGACCGCGUGCCUUUUGCAUAAUGAGCCUGCGAGUUACAGUGUCCAGCGAGGUUAAGUCGAUAGACGAAGCCGAAGCGAAAGCGAGUCUGAAUAGGGCGUCUAGUUGGAUGCUGUAGACCCGAAACCCGGUGAUCUAUCCAUGACCAGGCUGAAGAGCGGGUAACACCGCUUGGAGGGCCGAACUCACUAUAGUUGAAAAUAUAGGGGAUGAGUUGUGGAUCGGAGUGAAAGGCUAAUCAAACUGGGUUAUAGCUGGUUCUCGCCGAAACAUAUUUAGGUAUGGCCUUUGAGGUUCUGCCGCGGAGGUAAAGCACUGGAUGGGCUAGGGGUCCUACCAGAUUACCAAACCCAACCAAACUCUGAAUGCCGCGGACAGUGACCCAAGGAGACAGGCGUCGAGAGCUAAGUUCCGGCGCCAAGAGGGAAAGAGCCCAGACCGCCAGCUAAGGUCCCCAAAUACGUACUAAGUGGGAAAGGAUGUGGGGGCACACAGACAGCCAGGAGGUUGGCUUAGAAGCAGCCAUCCUUUAAAGAAAGCGUAAUAGCUCACUGGUCAAGUGAACCUGCGCCGAAAAUGUAACGGGGCUAAAGUACGUUACCGAAGCUGCGGAUUUGAACGAAGACUUCGGUCUUCGUCGAGUGGUAGGCGAGCAUUCUCUGUGCUGCGAAGGUCAACGGUAACGAUGGCUGGAGCGCAGAGAAGAGCUUAUGCAGGCUUGAGUAGCGAUAAAACAGGUGAGAAACCUGUUCGCCGUAAGCCCAAGGGUUCCUGGGUCAAGUUAAUCUUCCCAGGGUUAGUCGGUUCCUAAGCCAGAGGCAGACAUGCGUAGGUGAUGGGAAGCAGGUUAAUAUUCCUGCACCAUGUUGGAUGGUUUCUACAGGAGGGACGGAGAAAGGCGGCCGAGCCGGAUAAUGGAUACCGGUUCAAGCCAGUAGGCAGAUUCACUAGGAGGCCUAGUGCCACAAACGGUGAAUCAAUGCCGAGAGGUGAUGAGGAGAGCGCUUAGGCGCUCACAAACUCGGCGAUCCUCAGCUUCCAAGAAAAGCUCCGGUAGAGUUAACCGCUGACGUGACCGUACCGCAAACCGACACAGGUGGGCGGGGAGAAGAUCCCAAGGCGCUUGAGAGAACUCUGCCUAAGGAACUCGGCAAAAUGACACCGUAACUUCGGGAGAAGGUGUGCCCUCAUUACGUGAACCGCGAACGCGGGGAGCGGACGGGGGUUGCAGAGAAUCGGGGGUAGCGACUGUUUACCAAAAACACAGCACUCUGCGAAGUCGCAAGACGACGUAUAGGGUGUGAUGCCUGCCCGGUGCUGGAAGGUUAAAAGAGGAGUCAGCGCAAGCGAAGCUCCAAACUGAAGCCCCAGUAAACGGCGGCCGUAACUAUAACGGUCCUAAGGUAGCGAAAUUCCUUGUCGGGUAAGUUCCGACCUGCACGAAUGGCAUAACGACUUCCCCACUGUCUCGGGCAGAGACUCAGCGAAGUAGCACUAGGGGUGAAGAUACCCUUUACCCACGACAGGACGGAAAGACCCCGUGAACCUUCACUACAGUUUGACAUUGGUUUUCGAAGCAGUUUGCGUAGGAUAGGUGGGAGGCUAUGAAGCUGGGAUUCCGGUCUCGGCAGAGCCAACGUUGAAAUACCACCCUGAUUGGUUUGGAAACCUAACCUACACCCGUAAGCCGGGUGGGGGACACUGUCUGGUGGGUAGUUUGACUGGGGCGGUCGCCUCCCAAAAAGUAACGGAGGCGCGCGAAGGUCCCCUCAGCCUGAUUGGAAACCAGGCGCCGAGUGUAAUGGCAUAAGGGGGCUUGACUGCGAGUCCGACGAGACGAGCAGGUACGAAAGUAGGUCAUAGUGAUCCGGUGGCUCCAUAUGGAAGGGCCAUCGCUCAACGGAUAAAAGGUACUCCGGGGAUAACAGGCUUAUCACGUCCAAGAGUUCACAUCGACGACGUGGUUUGGCACCUCGAUGUCGGCUCAUCGCAUCCUGGGGCUGAAGUCGGUCCCAAGGGUUUAGCUGUUCGCUAAUUAAAGCGGUACGCGAGCUGGGUUCAGAACGUCGUGAGACAGUUCGGUCCCUAUCCGUCGUGGGCGCAGGACGCUUGAGAGGAGCUGACCUUAGUACGAGAGGACCGGGUUGGACGGACCGCUAGUGUUCCGGUUGUGGCGCCAGCGGCAUCGCCGGGUAGCUAUGUCCGGAAGGGAUAACCGCUGAAAGCAUCUAAGCGGGAAGCCCCCCUCAAGAUAAGGCGUCCCUGAGCCGCAAGGCUCCUGAAGACCCCACGUAGACUACGUGGUUGAUAGGCGGAGUGUGGACAUGCGGCAACGCGUGGAGCUAACCCGUACUAAUCGGUCGUGAGGCUUGACCAC